AAUUUAGGUGCUGGGUGUAAAUAACAAUUCCCAAAUUGAAAUUACCAUGCAAGUCGAACAUCAGCAAGCCCAUGGUGGCAUAAUAGGCCAUCCCAAAAAGCCCACCCCAGUGACCAGUUCGGCAGAGCAGGUCCCUUCUUCUUCUUCUUAUUCAAUCCCCCAUUUUUUUGGGGGAUUGCUGCUGGCGCUCAAAAAAACUUCUGGGUAUUUCAGACAAAGCUUGUAGCUUUUGCAUGGCUAAACAGGUUUGGACUUGGUUAUGAAAUUCAAAAGCAACUUCUUUCUUAGAGUUUUAUCAAGUUUUAAACUUUAAUUAGCAUAUACUCCCCUGAUCAGUGUAUCUCUUCCUGAUUUCUCAUUGUAUUGCCUCGAAACACUUUCAUGGCCAUAUGAAAAUGUCAAAUUUUGGGCCCGAAGGCCUAUAUUUCAUUCUUUGUUUUUGCUCAAAAUAUAUUAUGGAUUCAUUUUCUUCAACUUAAAUAUCGUAGCCUGCAAACUCAAAUUUCCGUAUGCGUAUGGUAAUUUUUGUUUCUGUCAUUAUUGUUAUUAUUGGUCUUUGCUUGAUUUGCUACCACUAGCAAAGAUGGUUAUUAUUGUUACUUUAGGAGGAUACAGAGCUAGUGGUAGGAAUGCUGUUUAUUUCUUAGUUUCAGAUGGAAAAUUGGGAACUAUGGUUGUCUAGGCAGGAAGAAGGCAAAUGUUAUCAACCAGUGAGAAAGCUGGCAAUGAAAAGUUGUAUAAAGGGGAUCCAUGCAUAUACUGAUUACAGGGCUGGGUUAUGAAUCAAAUAUAAUAGAGUCUUUCUGUUUCCACGUUUUUCUUUCGAGUGUUUUCUAACCCUCCCCACCUUCGGCUAAGUGUUGAAGAGGAAGUUCACUUUUGACUCUGAUAAAAUGUGGAAAUGCAUAACAACGGUGGAAGUUCACUUUGGUAAUGGACUGGAGGAUUUACAUAGAUACAGAGAUGGUUAGGAGAUUCUGGUCUUAACUCUACUCUGUGCACGAAUAGCAUUCUUUGAGGUUAGAGUGGGAAAUGACAGAUGAGUUUAAAGCCAUAACCC
Prunus persica (peach) is the source of this 1060-nucleotide long non-coding RNA. RefSeq lists it as uncharacterized. NCBI's taxonomy places the organism in Eukaryota, Viridiplantae, Streptophyta, Magnoliopsida, Rosales, Rosaceae. The record is from RefSeq and is a predicted model, not a curated record. The transcript is spliced from 3 exons.